This is a long non-coding RNA of Oncorhynchus keta (chum salmon), 744 nucleotides long. RefSeq lists it as uncharacterized. Lineage: Eukaryota; Metazoa; Chordata; Actinopteri; Salmoniformes; Salmonidae. The record is from RefSeq and is a predicted model, not a curated record. The transcript is spliced from 3 exons.
GUUGAGAACACCUUUAUUUAACCAGGUAGGCUAGUUGAGAACACCUUUAUUUAACCAGGUAGGCCAGUUGAGAACACCUUUAUUUAACCAGGUAGGCCAGUUGAGAACACCUUUAUUUAACCAGGUAGGCUAGUUGAGAACACCUUUAUUUAACCAGGUAGGCUAGUUGAGAACACCUUUAUUUAACCAGGUAGGCUAGUUGAGAACACCUUUAUUUAACCAGGUAGGCCAGUUGAGAACACCUUUAUUUAACCAGGUAGGCUAGUUGAGAACACCUUUAUUUAACCAGGUAGGCUAGUUGAGAACGCCUUUAUUUAACCAGGUGGCCAGUUGAGAACACCUUUAUUUAACCAGGUAGGCCAGUUGAGAACACCUUUAUUUAACCAGGUAGGCCAGUUGAGAACACCUUUAUUUAACCAGGUAGGCCAGUUGAGAACACCUUUAUUUAACCAGGUAGGCCAGUUGAGAACACCUUUAUUUAACCAGGUAGGCUAGUUGAGAACACCUUUAUUUAACCAGGUAGGCUAGUUGAGAACACCUUUAUUUAACCAGGUAGGCCAGUUGAGAACACCUUUAUUUAACCAGGUAGGCCAGUUGAGAACACCUUUAUUUAACCAGGUAGGCCAGUUGAGAACACCUUUAUUUAACCAGGUAGGCUAGUUGAGAACACCUUUAUUUAACCAGGUAGGCUAGUUGAGAACACCUUUAUUUAACCAGGUAGGCUAGUUGAGAACACCUUUAUUU